AUUGAACGCUGGCGGCAGGCCUAACACAUGCAAGUCGAACGAGUGGCGGACGGGUGAGUAAUGUCUGGGAAACUGCCUGAUGGAGGGGGAUAACUACUGGAAACGGUAGCUAAUACCGCAUACCAUAAGAUGUGCCCAUAUGGGAUUAGCUAGGAGGGGGGGUAACGGCUAACCUAGGAGACGAUCCCUAGCUGGUCUGAGAGGAUGACCCGCCACACUGUAACUGAGACACGGUCCAGACUCCUACGGGAGGCAGCAGUGUGGAAUAUUGCACAAUGGGCGCAAUCCUGAUGCAGCCAUGCCGCGUGUGUGAAGAAGGCCUUCGGGUUGUAAAGCACUUUCGGCGGGGAGGCGUUACCCGCAGAAGAAGCACCGGCUAACUCCGUGCCAGCAGCCGCGGUAAUAC
This 406-nucleotide ribosomal RNA is filed under the name uncultured bacterium. RNAcentral describes it as "partial 16S ribosomal RNA". It matches the Rfam family "Bacterial small subunit ribosomal RNA", at positions 30 to 526 of the family's 1533-position model. The record is from RNAcentral.